This 488-nucleotide ribosomal RNA is filed under the name uncultured bacterium. Its description in RNAcentral is "partial 16S ribosomal RNA". It matches the Rfam family "Bacterial small subunit ribosomal RNA", at positions 28 to 507 of the family's 1533-position model. The record is from RNAcentral.
GAUGAACGCUAGCGGCAGGCCUAAUACAUGCAAGUCGGACGGGAUCCAUUGAUAGCUUGCUAUCAAUGGUGAGAGUGGAGCACGGGUGUGUAACGCGUGAGCAACCUGCCUCCAUCAGGGGGAUAGCCUCUCGAAAGAGAGAUUAACACCGUAUAAUAUCUACAGAUAGGAUGUUCGGUUGAUUAAUUCUUUAUAGGAUGGAGAUGGGCUGGCGUCGCAUUAGUUAGUGGGUAGGGUAACGGCGUACCAAGGCGACGAUGUUAAGGGGCCCGGAGAGGAGGAACACCCGCACUGGUACAGAGACACGGACCAGACGCCUACGGGAGGCAGCGGUAAGGAAUAUAGGUCAAUGAGCGGGAGCCUGAACCAGCCGUGCCGCGUGCAAGAUGACUGCACUAUGAGUUGUUGACUGCUUUUGAGCAGGAUGAAGCCUAAAUACGAGUAUUUAGCUGAAGGUACUGGAAGAAUAAGGAACGGCUAACUCCGUG